UGGGGAAUAUUGCACAAUGGGCGAAAGCCUGAUGCAGCAACGCCGCGUGAGUGAUGAAGGUCUUCGGAUUGUAAAGCUCUGUCUUUUGGGACGAUAAUGACGGUACCAAAGGAGGAAGCCACGGCUAACUACGUGCCAGCAGCCGCGGUAAUACGUAGGUGGCGAGCGUUGUCCGGAUUUACUGGGCGUAAAGGGUGCGUAGGCGGAUGUUUAAGUGAGAUGUGAAAUACCCGGGCUUAACUUGGGUGCUGCAUUU
RNAcentral lists this ribosomal RNA (256 nucleotides) under uncultured bacterium. RNAcentral describes it as "partial 16S ribosomal RNA". It matches the Rfam family "Bacterial small subunit ribosomal RNA", at positions 355 to 628 of the family's 1533-position model. The record is from RNAcentral.